UGAGGAACAUGACCUUCGGCGGGGGAUAGCCGGCCCAACGGCCGGGUAAUACCGCGUACGACCACUUUGGGACAUCCCUGGGUGGUGAAAGCAGCAAUGCGCCGAUGGAGUGCCUCGCGGCCUAUCAGCUAGUUGGUGAGGUAACGGCUCACCAAGGCGACGACGGGUAGCUGGUCUGAGAGGAUGGCCAGCCACAUUGGGACUGAGACACGGCCCAGACCUCCGUACGGGAGCAG
Molecule: ribosomal RNA, 236 nt
Filed under: uncultured bacterium
Lineage: Bacteria
Description: partial 16S ribosomal RNA
Rfam family: Bacterial small subunit ribosomal RNA
Source: RNAcentral